Molecule: RNA transcript, 1040 nt
Organism: Tachysurus fulvidraco (yellow catfish)
Lineage: Eukaryota; Metazoa; Chordata; Actinopteri; Siluriformes; Bagridae
Gene: anapc13
Gene name: anaphase promoting complex subunit 13
Exons: 4
Source: RefSeq, a predicted model, not a curated record
GCGACCUGACAAUCUGUCUAAACGUGAGUAGCCAAUCCUAGCGCAGGAUUCCGGAAUACGGGUGGGCAAAUAACGCUUGCUGGGUGGAUUUCGCUUUGGCGAGACAAGACGGAGGUUUUUUGCGUGAUUAAAAGUUUGGCCGAUGGAUAGUGAGGUUCAGAGGGACGGGAGAGUGUUGGAUCUGACCGAUGAUGCCUGGAGGGAAGACCGGCUACCUUAUGAAGAUGUAACGAUUCCUCUGAGUGAACUUCCAGAAGCAGAACAGGAUAAUGGAGGAUCCACGGAGUCCAUCAAAGAGCAAGAAAUGAAGUGGUCUGACUUGGCGUUGCAAAGUUUGCAUGAAAAUACUCCAAGUACUGGGACAUAAAUGGUUAGAUGUAAUUUUAUUUGAUUAGGUUGAAUGCAAAUUAUAUCGUGUGUCUGGCUGUUUGUUCAUUUGCUGUUUUUCAAAUAAAACUUAGAUGUAAAUGCCAACAUAUCUAUGGCUAAGAAAUGUUUUUACAUAAAUUCUGAAAUGGAAAGGUCUUGCGUUUCAGUUUUCUGAAGGAUCCUGUACAUUACAAUUAGCUUAAAUUAUAGUAUUAUCUCGAUGGUAUCAUGUUUGGAAGACCACAGUUAUUCCCAUAAACAAAAGAACUAUUCAUUCAAACUGCUAAACUUUACACCUCAACUUUAUCAGAAUACAGCCCCAGUGUUCUGAGCUCCAGCUGUAAAAUGAAUUCAGGAAAGGUAUUAAUGAUUUUGCAGGCUUUGGCCAGCCUAUGCAUGUCUGUUUACAAAUGCUAUAAACCUAAGCAACACUGAGAAUUAACUGUUGUUAUUUUUGGGUGCUUCACACCAUUAAAUGUAAGAAUAAAGUAAUGAAAAAUAAUUAAACAAGUUAGUGGGUAUAUGAGGAAUACAAUUCUUCAGGAUGUGGUGUUAUAGGAAAAUGAUCAACUUUCCACAAUUAUUUUUCUUUAAAUGGUGAGACACAGAGCAACACAUCACUGUUUAAGAUAUUGUGUAAAAUAAAAUAAAAAUAUUGAAGUUAUACCUUA